Non-coding RNA from Sus scrofa (pig), 6358 nucleotides. Lineage: Eukaryota; Metazoa; Chordata; Mammalia; Artiodactyla; Suidae. The record is from RefSeq and is a predicted model, not a curated record.
AGGGCCCAGGGAGGCUGAACCUAGCAGGUUUGGUCCCGAUUUGCAUGCUUGGCGGGUACCGAGGUCCGCCACGGCCAAGCUGCCAGGGUACCUCUUGAUAUCUUGGCAAGGGUUUCUUUACGCUGUGGCACUCGUGCCUUUGGGGGCUUUGUGUCUGUGUGCAACUGUAUAGCUAGCAGCUAGGGGACCCUCGCCUCCCAGCUCCUCGUUCUCUCAGCUCGUUCGUCGCAGCCCAGCAGCUAGACGCGCGUCAGCUGCUCAAGGGAUGGAGCAAACCGAGGUGCUCAAGCCACGCACCCUGGCGGAUCUGAUCCGCAUACUGCACCAGCUCUUCGCCAGCGAAGAGGUCAACGUGGAGGAGGUGCAGGCAGUCAUGGAAGCCUAUGAGAGCGACCCCGCGGAGUGGGCCAUGUACGCCAAGUUCGACCAGUACAGGUACACCCGAAAUCUUGUGGAUCAAGGAAAUGGAAAAUUUAAUCUAAUGAUUCUAUGUUGGGGUGAAGGACAUGGCAGCAGUAUCCAUGAUCACACCGACUCCCACUGCUUUCUGAAGAUGCUGCAAGGAAAUCUAAAGGAGACAUUAUUUGCCUGGCCUGACAAAAAAUCCAACGAGAUGAUCAAGAAGUCUGAAAGAAUCUUGAGGGAAAACCAGUGUGCCUACAUCAACGGUAACAUUCAAUCCAUUUUUCUAACAGCAAGUGGGAAAAACCUUCAACUCCCAUCUAAAGUACUGCUUACUUACACGUGUGCAUUAGAACUUGGAUCAUGGAAUCAUGAUUUCAUCUGCUUAGAAGCUGUGGGGUGUUUGGUUUUUUUUUUUAAAGCUUGGAAUCACUUAUUAAAAACAUAUGCACACAGUUUAGCAUCCAUUGAAAAGACAUUAACCUACCAAGUCUUAGAACAGUUAGAACUAAACAUGAAUUUACAUAAGUAGAGUCUUAAUAUAGGCAUGAGGCCAAGUUGAAAGUAUUCGUCUUUGGUUAGAAAAUGUAAAGAAAUGUUCUGGAAGUGAUUUAGCAUGCUAGCUAGUCCCUGUUUUACUAAAGUGCAUACAGCUUAAAGAGUAUUCUCAAGAGAAACUUUACAAAGUACAUUAUUUAGCAGUGAUUUAUAGAUCUCUUACAAAGAAUUCAUUCUUUCCCUUAAAUGUGAUAUGAGAGAGACAGAUGUUCUUCAGCAGAGGCAGUGGCUAAUGUCUGUAUUCCUGAAGGACUUCAUCACUUUCCAGAAAGCUGCUUAAAGCUUCUAUGAAAUAACUUUUCUAUUCCCAUUUACAAAUGAAAUUGCCAACACAUGGGAAAAUUAACCUGUCCAAGGUCACUCAGGAUUUGAAUCCCCAAAAAUUUAAUUCCAAAGUCCAUAGUCUUAGUUGGAAUGCUGUCCCACUUAUGUAAAAUACUACAGAGAUUUUUCUGGCACACUAAGUUCUUUUGUCUUAAAGUUUAAUAUUGGCCUUGAUACUUGGCCUAAAAUUUGUUCAUUAGUUUAAGAAUGCAAGUCACUUAGAUUUGAUUGUAUAGGAAGUUUUUCCCCCAUUCACAUAACACAAAGGGGUUCCUUUUUCAGGUAGCAGGAAACAUUUGAGGGUUGCUAUUUAUAGAAGGCACACCAGAUUUCCAGUACUGCUCACAAUAAAGCCAAAAGCCUUUUCAGCUAGAGUUACAGAGUAUUUGGGAAGCUAGGUUAGACCUUGAAGAACACGUAAAAAAUUUUUUUUCAAGAGUCCUCAAUGCAAAAGUCUCUAGGAGCCAAGCAGGUAAGGUGAGUGGAAUAAGCCAGAAAUAGGCUGUGGGGACUGGUGUGCAAGCCACCCUGCCUAAAGAGACAACAGUGGCCACCCAGCUACAAUGAAAUCGUCUUGACUUCUUUUUCCAUAGAGGUGGGAAAUUUUGCCAAUCAGAAAAAGAUUGGUUUAGGAUAAGCCAAAUAUUUCUGCAGAGUAAUUACUCAAAAGCCACAAAUUUUUAACUUUUGAUUUUUACAGAUUCAGGAAGAAGGCUAAAGAUGGAUAGUGAUCAGAAGGAAAGAUAUCUUGAGUAUAAAGAAGAGCAUGAGUGAAGGUCCAGCCAUUGCAAAGAAUGAAAACUAUGCAAGAAUGGUCUAGCUGGAGGGCAAAAAAAAUGGGUUUGGAUAGGAGAAGUGAGAUCAGGGCUUGAGCCUCUAAGACCAGCUUAGAGUAAGAUCUUUCUUUGGUCAACAGAAUUGUGUUUGGGAAUGUCUUGAUCACUUCAUUGGCAAUAUGAGUCAUUGGGUGAGGAAAGGGAGAAUUGGGACAAGGAGAUCAAUUUGCCUGUUGUAAUAGGCAAAAGAUGGACAUUGCCUGAAGCAAGCUGGCAUCCAUAGGUAUCACCAAGAAAGGGCCAAAGUAUUGUGGCAGAGGGUAAAUCAUGGGUGUAAAGAAAAAGGAGGCAAAGACAUAAUAAUGAUGAUGAUGAUGGGAUUAUUAAUAGGCAUCAAGCAUGAGCCUCAGGGGCUUCUCAAAAGGAUGGGUGACUUGUUUUUGUGAGAGCUUUGCUUGCCAUGGGUGGUCAGUGCAUUGAAAUUGGAAUUUGUAUAAAGGGAAGUCAUUUCUUUAGAGUCAUUAACUUUUGCUGAAGACUAUGCUUAAGCCAGUGUUCUUUUACAAGCAGUAAGCUAUAGAAUCGAAGAGCUGGCAGAUCUGAGAAUUCGGCCCUAGUUUUUAAAAUGAGUAAAACUGAAUUUCUGAGUUGGUCAAAGGUAGUCCCUCUAGCUGGAAUAAAGCCAAAGUCUUCUGCUUCUAGGCUUUGCUCUUCUUUGACAUGUGGACUAAUGGAGCUAUAUCAUAAAGCAGAAGACCAAAUAGGUGCCUGUACUAACUGCAGUAAUACACUGAAUUCCUUCCUUAAGUAAUCCUCAAAUUCUCUCCUUACUUUAUAAAUUCCUUAUCAACAUAGUUAUAAAAGUCAGAUAUUUUAUCUAUUUCUUGUAAUCUUUUGAAGGCAUCUCCCCAGGCCUUUUGACUUCCUUCAGCCAGGGCUCCACUGUCAUCCUGGGGUCCCAUUACAUCAUCCAGUCUUUCCCUUUGUUUUCUCCUAUUGCUGAUCCCCUGUUUGCUGAUCUUGUGUCUGCUUCAUUUUGACUCCAUGUCCUUGUUUUGGUAGAACAUACCCUUCAAAGCCCCUAUGAGAAAAGGUUCAUGGAAAGUAAAUUUUUCAGACCUUUGGUAUCUAAAAUUCUCUAUAUUCAACCUUUGCAAGUAGCUUGAUAGUUUAGCUGGAUGUGAAAUCACGACCUGACAGUCAUCUUCUCUCAGAAUUAUGAAAGUCAUCCUAUGUCUUUUAGUUUCCAGUCUUGUUGACAGCCUGAUACCAUCUUGAUUGUUGAAUCUAUGAAACCUCUUUUUCCUUUCUCAAAUUUUUUGGGGCCUUCUCUUUGGGUCUCUUCCACAUCCUCAGUAUCAUAGCCAUGCACUUGUUUCACGACACUCGCUACGCUGGAAGCUCAGGUUCUACAAUCCAUAAAUGCAUGUCCUUCACAUUAAGAAAAUAUUCUCAAGUUGUUACUUUGAUUUUGUUGUUGUUUCUGUUCUGUUUCUGAAACUCCUAUUGCUCAGAUAUUCAACCUUCUGAAGUAGUCUUCUGGUUUAGGAUUGUGGGGUUUUUUUUGGGGGGCGGGCAUUGGGGUUUUUUUUUUAAACCUUCUUAUAUUCUAUCUUUGGCCCUUUGGUUUUUGGUGGUGAUGGUGGGUUUUGUUUUGUUUUUGUUGAACCCAUGCCACAGUAGUAACCUGAGACACUGCAGUGACAACGCUGGUUCCUUAACCUGCUAAGCCCACAGGGAAUUCCUGUCCCCUUGUUCUUUGAGUCUUCCUCAGUUUUUUCUUCUAACUCUUCUACUCAGAUUUUUAUUUCUGCUAUCUUUUUAUUUCUAAAACCUCUUUAUUCUCUAGUCCUUUUUUUAAAUAGUAUUUUAUCUCUAUGAGGAUAUUGAUGAUAAGUUUUGGGUUUUAUUUUUUAAAGUCUUCCCUUGAGUAGUGUUUUAUUUCAAGUCAUCUUUUUUUUCAGGUUGUAUCUUUAUACUAGAGGCUCUGCUUGCAUGUCUAGUAACCUCAGCUGGGUGCUAAUAUUUAAAAAACCAGGACAAAAAAAUACAUUGGUAACUUUCACACAUGGAUAGUGUUGGUCAACUGGACUUCACUUCAGGAUAAUCUGGUAAAGCUUUUUCCUUGAGGAACAACCAGUGGCAAUCUUUUCAGGACUUCUUUCCUGGGCUGACCUGGUUCUCAGAGAAUCUGCUUCCCAUCUUCUGCAUGGAGAAGAAAUUCCUGUCUGGCAGCAUUCUGGUGGCUAUGUGGUGAAGAAAGUAGAGAUCUUACCACUCAGUGUGUAAAUUUUCAUUUAAGUCACCUUUUUUCACUGGGUAUCCACCAGUCCUGGAUUCAUCUGUUGUACUCUUUCUAGAGAAUAGAUCUCAGGCUUUUAUCAGGGGUGGAAGAAAGGCGAGGGAGAAGUGAUGAAAAGGGUUUAAGACAAAGCUUGAAUAGGUUUCAACCAGUUCUUAUUUAUUUAUUUAUUUGUCUUUUUAGGGCUGCACGCUCGGCAUGUGGAAGUUCCCAGGCUAGGGGUCGAAUCGAAGCUGUAACUACUGGCCUACUCCAUAGCCACAGCAAUGCCAGAUCCAAGCCAUAGUCUGUGAUAUAUACCACAGCUCAUGGCAAUGCCUGAUCCUUAUCCUGCUGAAUGAGGGCAGGGAUCGAACCUGUGUCAUCAUGGUUAUUUUCCGCUGAGCCAUGACAGGAACUCCCUCAACCAGAUCUUAUAUCUGUAGCCCCUCUUCACCUUCAUCUUAAGAAGUACCAGUACAGUUGCUGAGCUGUUUGUUAGUUUCAGGAUGUAAAUCAGGUUAUUUCCUGGCUGUCUCCAAGGACAACUGAGGAUUUAGCUUUCUCUCUUCUGCAAAGCCAUCUAUCUACUUUUUUUUUUUUUUUUUUUUUUUUUUUUUGUCUUUUUUGUCUUUUCAGGGCCACACCUGCAGCACAUGGAGGUUCCCAGCAAUGCGGGAUCUGAGCCGCAUCUACAACCUACACCACAGCUCAUAGCAACGCUGGAUCCUCAACCCAUUGAGGAAGGCCAGGGAUCGAACCCAAAACCUCAUUUGUUUUCACUGUGCCAUGGCAGGAAUCCCACCAUCCAUCUACUUUUAAGCUUUCAAGUUUUUUUUUUUUAAGUUAUUUUUUAAGUUUAAAAGUUUUCUCUUUUUCCGUUGUCUUGUAAUAUGGAUGCCUUUUUAUUCUUAUGCUGCAGUUGUAGGGGAGUUUUUAAGAAAAAGCAGAGUGUAUGUCAUUUAUUGUCUGUAACUCAAAAGUUCAGUUCUAAGUAAUUUUUAUUAAAUCCAUCAAAUUAUUAAGGAUCUUGGGCAAUGGACAAAGUUUUUACCUACAGCUGUCGUCUAACCUUCUUCACCUUUUCUUUCAUCGUGGAUAUUGUUUAGAUUCCAUUGGCUUACAUCGAGUAGAGAAUAUGAGUCACACAGAACCUGCUGUGAGCCUUCACUUGUACAGUCCACCCUUCGAUACGUGCCAUGCCUUUGAUCAAAGAACAGGACAUAAAAACAAAGUCACCAUGACAUUCCAUAGCAAAUUUGGAAUCAGGACUCCACUUGCAACUUCAGGGUCCCUGGAGAACAACUAAGGAGCACCAAACCCUCUGGAUGUUUUACUUCAAGGUCUGGUGAAAGUUUUGCCAUGGACGGGAAGGCUUCCCACCAUUUUCUUUCCAGUAAUACACUUUACAAAGCCAAUAUUUAGAUCUACUAUAAGGCAGAUGCUAAUUAUAAGGCAUUAAGUAAGCAAAUAGUGCCCUGAGCUACUAUAGAAGAAAAAAACUCCCACUAAGGAUAAAAAGGCUUGUGAUUUUAAAGGCCAGCUCAAGGCUCUACUGGUUUCACCCUCUAAAUCCAUUGGUACCAUCUGGAGAGUAUCAACAAAGGUUUUUAUAGUUUUUGGAAAUCCUUUGGUCUCUGAACUGUAAUUAGGAAUAAAUAAAAACAAGACAUCAAACCACCCACCUUGUUACUUCGAGAACUAAAUGUAGGUGUCUUCAGUAUACUUUGUACGUUCUUAAUGUUGGAAGAGAAUUUUUUGAAUCCGUGCAUUUUAUUUUUUCAAUCUUAUUUUACAAAUUCCUGUUCUAUAAAUAAUAGGGUAUUGUAGAUAGAGAAAGUUAAGGCACUUGGCCAUUUGAUAAUGAAAUGAAGGGCAGGAGCUUUAGAAAAGUACAUGUAUCCAAACCCACAACAAACCAAAAAUAUAAAUUCAUUCUAAUGUGUCCAGUGGUCAAAGACUUUGUACUGCUGCCAAAAUUGCCAAAUCAUUUUAAUAAAACUGGAUUUGAACAUAA